RNAcentral lists this ribosomal RNA (199 nucleotides) under uncultured bacterium. RNAcentral's name for it is "partial 16S ribosomal RNA". It matches the Rfam family "Bacterial small subunit ribosomal RNA", at positions 1294 to 1500 of the family's 1533-position model. The record is from RNAcentral.
CGGAUCGGAGUCUGCAACCCGACUCCGUGAAGCUGGAUUCGCUAGUAAUCGCGCAUCGGCCAUGGCGCGGUGAAUACGUUCCCGGGCCUUGUACACACCGCCCGUCAAGCCAUGGGAGCCGGGAGUGCCUGAAGGCCGUGACCGCAAGGAGCGGCCUAAGGUAAAACUGGUGACUGGGGCUAAGUCGUAACAAGGUAUC